Molecule: ribosomal RNA, 253 nt
Filed under: uncultured bacterium
Lineage: Bacteria
Description: partial 16S ribosomal RNA
Rfam family: Bacterial small subunit ribosomal RNA
Source: RNAcentral
UACGUAGGGUGCAAGCGUUGUCCGGAUUUAUUGGGUUUAAAGGGUGCGCAGGCGGCCUGUUAAGUCAGCGUUUAAAGGCAGCCGCUCAACGGAUGAAGUGGCGCUGAUACUGACGGGUUUGAAUGUGGUUGAGGUUGGCGGAAUUUAGGGUGUAGCGGUGAAAUGCAUAGAUACCCUAAGGAACACCGAUAGCGAAGGCAGCUAACCAAGCCAUGAUUGACGCUCAUGCACGAAAGCGUUGGGAGCAAACAGG